This 70-nucleotide transfer RNA is filed under the name Plagiochila chinensis. RNAcentral's name for it is "tRNA-Gly". It matches the Rfam family "tRNA". Rfam says of the family: Transfer RNA (tRNA) molecules are approximately 80 nucleotides in length. Their secondary structure includes four short double-helical elements and three loops (D, anti-codon, and T loops). Further hydrogen bonds mediate the characteristic L-shaped molecular structure. tRNAs have two regions of fundamental functional importance: the anti-codon, which is responsible for specific mRNA codon recognition, and the 3' end, to which the tRNAs corresponding amino acid is attached (by aminoacyl-tRNA synthetases). tRNAs cope with the degeneracy of the genetic code in two manners: having more than one tRNA (with a specific anti-codon) for a particular amino acid; and 'wobble' base-pairing, i.e. permitting non-standard base-pairing at the 3rd anti-codon position. The record is from RNAcentral. Lineage: Eukaryota; Viridiplantae; Streptophyta; Jungermanniopsida; Jungermanniales; Plagiochilaceae.
GCGGGUAUAGUUUACUGGUAAAAUUCCUCCUUGCCAAGGAGAAGACGCGGGUUCGAUUCCCGCUACCCGC